Molecule: ribosomal RNA, 374 nt
Filed under: uncultured bacterium
Lineage: Bacteria
Description: partial 16S ribosomal RNA
Rfam family: Bacterial small subunit ribosomal RNA
Source: RNAcentral
CCUACGGGAGGCAGCAGUGGGGAAUAUUGCACAAUGGGGGAAACCCUGAUGCAGCGACGCCGCGUGAGUGAUGAAGUAUUUCGGUAUGUAAAGCUCUAUCAGCAGGGAAGAUAAUGACGGUACCUGACUAAGAAGCUCCGUCUAAAUACGUGCCAGCAGCCGCGGUAAUACGUAUGGAGCAAGCGUUAUCCGGAUUUACUGGGUGGAAAGGGUGCGUAGACGGUAUGGCAAGUCUGAUGUGAACGUCUGGGGCUCAACCCUGGGACUGCAUUGGAAACUGUACGGCUAGAGUGCAGGUGAGGUAAGUGGAAUGCGUGGUGUAGCGGUGAAAUGCGUAGAUAUUAGGAAGAACACCAGUGGCGAAGGCAGCUUAC